UGAGGAAUAUUGGGCAAUGCCCGCAAGGGUGACCCAGCAACGCCGCGUGGAGGUUGAAUGUCGUCAGAUUGUAAACUCCUUUUAGAGGGGAAGAAUAGUACCGGUUGGACCGGUAUAUGACUGUACCCUCAGAGAAAGCACCGGCUAACUACGUGCCAGCAGCCGCGGUAAUACGUAGGGGGCAAGCGCUGUCCGGAUUUACUGGUUGUAAAGGGCGCGCAGGCGGGAUAAAAAGUCAGUGGUGAAAUCCUACAGCUUAACUGUAGAACUGCCUUUGAUACUUUUAUUCUUGAGUUCGGGAGAGAGAGACGGAAUUCCAGGUGUAGUGGUGAAAUACGUAGAGAUCUGGAAGAACACCAGUUGCGAAGGCGGUCUCUUGGUCCGACACUGACGCUGAGGCGCGAAAGCGUGGGGAGCAAA
Molecule: ribosomal RNA, 420 nt
Filed under: uncultured bacterium
Lineage: Bacteria
Description: bacterial SSU rRNA
Rfam family: Bacterial small subunit ribosomal RNA
Source: RNAcentral